This 413-nucleotide long non-coding RNA is filed under the name Marmota monax (woodchuck). Lineage: Eukaryota; Metazoa; Chordata; Mammalia; Rodentia; Sciuridae. The record is from RNAcentral.
CUUUAAAAGUAAGGACUGGGGGUGUAGCUUGGUGCCUGCCUUGCAUGUACAAGGCCCUGGAGUUGAGCCCCAGCAUUGCAAAAAUAUAAAAUAUAGUUUCUGAAGCCCACUCUGGACCUACAGAAUCUGGGGCCAGAUGGUUUGCUUCUUUUCCACUUCCAUGCCCCUGCUGUAGGGUGCUAAGAUGAUAAUCAGACUCCAAAAAAUGAACCACCCACCCACUCCUGCAGACCCUUCUUGCUUACUCUUUGUUGUAAAAAAACUCAAAAAAGGAAAGAAGCUUUGGAAAGCUGGAACCACUUAGAGACUAACUCCCAGAGCUGGUCUCCAGUAUGCUGACCUCCACCCCCACCUCUCACAAAUGAAUGCUCAAGUAGGUGAUAAACAUCCUUCACUCUGGGGCUGGAGAUGUG